RNAcentral lists this ribosomal RNA (493 nucleotides) under uncultured bacterium. RNAcentral describes it as "bacterial SSU rRNA". It matches the Rfam family "Bacterial small subunit ribosomal RNA", at positions 28 to 507 of the family's 1533-position model. The record is from RNAcentral.
GAUGAACGCUAGCUACAGGCUUAACACAUGCAAGUCGAGGGGAAACGACAUUGAAAGCUUGCUUUGAUGGGCGUCGACCGGCGCACGGGUGAGUAACGCGUAUCCAACCUGCCCACCACUUGGGGGAUAACCUUGCGAAAGUAAGACUAAUACCCGAUGAUAUCUCUAGACGACAUCUGAAAGGGAUUAAAAGAUUUAUCGGUGAUGGAUGGGGAUGCGUCUGAUUAGCUUGUUGGCGGGGUAACGGCCCACCAAGGCAACGAUCAGUAGGGGUUCUGAGAGGAAGGUCCCCCACAUUGGAACUGAGACACGGUCCAAACUCCUACGGGAGGCAGCAGUGAGGAAUAUUGGUCAAUGGGCGAGAGCCUGAACCAGCCAAGUAGCGUGCAGGACGACGGCCCUAUGGGUUGUAAACUGCUUUUAUAAGGGAAUAAAGUGAGUCUCGUGAGACUUUUUGCAUGUACCUUAUGAAUAAGGACCGGCUAAUUCCGUG